Molecule: ribosomal RNA, 478 nt
Filed under: uncultured bacterium
Lineage: Bacteria
Description: partial 16S ribosomal RNA
Rfam family: Bacterial small subunit ribosomal RNA
Source: RNAcentral
GACGAACGCUGGCGGCGUGCUUAACACAUGCAAGUCGAACGGGAUUUAGUAGACAGAAGCCUCGGCUAAAGAUUACUAAUGAGAGUGGCGAACGGGUGAGUAACGCGUGAGCAACCUGCCUAUGACAGUGGGAUAGCCUCGGGAAACCGGGAUUAAUACCGCAUAAAAUCGUAGAAACACAUGUUUUAACGGUCAAAGAUUUAUCGGUCAUAGAUGGGCUCGCGUCUGAUUAGCUAGUUGGUGAGAUAACAGCCCACCAAGGCGACGAUCAGUAGCCGGUCUGAGAGGAUGAACGGCCACAUUGGAACUGAGACACGGUCCAAACUCCUACGGGAGGCAGCAGUGGGGAAUAUUGCACAAUGGAGGAAACCCUGAUGCAGCGACGCCGCGUGAACGAAGAAGGUAUUCGUAUCGUAAAGUUCUGUCCUAUGGGAAGAUAAUGACAGUACCAGAGAAGAAAGCUCCGGCUAAAUACGUG